UACGGAGGGCGCGAGCGUUAAUCGGAAUUACUGGGCGUAAAGCGCGCGUAGGCUGUUGUGUAAGUUGGGGGUGAAAUCCCACGGCUCAACCGUGGAACAGCCCUUGAUACUGCGCGACUUGAAUCCGGGAGAGGGUGGCGGAAUUCCAGGUGUAGGAGUAGAAUCCGUAGAUAUCUGGAGGAACAUCAGUGGCGAAGGCGGCCACCUGGACCGGUAUUGACGCUGAGGCGCGAAAGCGUGGGGAGCAAACAGG
This 253-nucleotide ribosomal RNA is filed under the name uncultured bacterium. Its description in RNAcentral is "partial 16S ribosomal RNA". It matches the Rfam family "Bacterial small subunit ribosomal RNA", at positions 524 to 776 of the family's 1533-position model. The record is from RNAcentral.